Molecule: transfer RNA, 76 nt
Filed under: Burkholderia multivorans
Lineage: Bacteria; Pseudomonadati; Pseudomonadota; Betaproteobacteria; Burkholderiales; Burkholderiaceae
Description: tRNA-His
Source: RNAcentral
GUGGCCGAACCCAAACGGUGAGGGACCAGGUUGUGACCCUGGCUGCUAGUGGAUUCGACUUCCACCGGUCACCCCA